This 726-nucleotide ribosomal RNA is filed under the name Scrapter nitidus. RNAcentral describes it as "eukaryotic LSU rRNA". It matches the Rfam family "Eukaryotic large subunit ribosomal RNA", at positions 366 to 810 of the family's 3401-position model. The record is from RNAcentral. Lineage: Eukaryota; Metazoa; Arthropoda; Insecta; Hymenoptera; Colletidae.
GAAAAGAACUUUGAAGAGAGAGUUCAAGAGUACGUGAAACCGUUCAGGGGUAAACCUGAGAAACCCAAAAGGUCGAAUUUGGAGAUUCAUCGUCAACGAAGCCGGCUCCCGUUGGUGCGCGAUACCCCGAACGGGCCAUCAUUGGGUCCCGUGGCGAGGGCACGCCACCUUCGGUGAACGAUCCGGCGACGUAGUCGUGCACUUCUCCUUUAGUAGAACGUCGCGACCCGUUGUGUGUCGGUCUACGGUCCAGGCUGUUUGCCUGCCGCGGCGUCUUCGUACGCUCGGGGCAGAGGCUCGGUAGCCCGGCCGACUGCACGACGGUACUCUCACGGUAUCGGGCCGCAACCAAAGAAUACAUUCUCGAAUGUGUGUGCGUCGGGCCCGCCGCAAGCUCGGACAGUUUUACCCGGAGUGUGCGGACCUAGUGCCCUCCCCGGGUCUGGCCAGCUGUUGGCAGGCGGUGUCCUUUGACUGGCCAAGUUUUUUGAAUUACCGGUCGGCGACGCUACUGCUUUGGGUACUCUCAGGACCCGUCUUGAAACACGGACCAAGGAGUCUAACAUGUGCGCGAGUCAUUGGGACAUGAAAACCUAAAGGCGCAAUGAAAGUGAAGGUCGACCUUAGCGUCGACCAAGGGAGGAUGGGCCGCUUACGUCCCGGCCCCGCACUCCCGGGGCGUCUCGUUCUCAUUGCGAGAAGAGGCGCACCCAGAGCGUACACGUU